This 460-nucleotide ribosomal RNA is filed under the name uncultured bacterium. RNAcentral's name for it is "partial 16S ribosomal RNA". It matches the Rfam family "Bacterial small subunit ribosomal RNA", at positions 338 to 795 of the family's 1533-position model. The record is from RNAcentral.
CCUACGGGAGGCAGCAGUGAGGAAUAUUGGUCAAUGGACGAGAGUCUGAACCAGCCAAGUCGCGUGAAGGAUGACUGCCCUAUGGGUUGUAAACUUCUUUUAUAUGGGAGUAAAAUGUUCCACGUGUGGGCUUUUGUAUGUAACAUGUGAAUAAAGCUCGGCUAACUCCGUGCCAGCAGCCGCGGUAAUACGGAGGAUCCGAGCGUUAUCCGGAUUUAUUGGGUUUAAAGGGAGCGUAGGUGGAUUGUUAAGUCAGUUGUGAAAGUUUGCGGCUCAACCGUAAAAUUGCAGUUGAAACUGGCAGUCUUGAGUACAGUAGAGGUGGGCGGAAUUCGUGGUGUAGCGGUGAAAUGCUUAGAUAUCACGAAGAACUCCGAUUGCGAAGGCAGCUCACUGGACUGCAACUGACACUGAGGCUCGAAAGUGUGGGUAUCAAACAGGAUUAGAUACCCGGGUAGUC